This 497-nucleotide ribosomal RNA is filed under the name uncultured bacterium. RNAcentral's name for it is "partial 16S ribosomal RNA". It matches the Rfam family "Bacterial small subunit ribosomal RNA", at positions 28 to 507 of the family's 1533-position model. The record is from RNAcentral.
GAUGAACGCUGGCGGCGUGCCUAAUACAUGCAAGUCGAGCGAACGGACGAGAAGCUUGCUUCUCUGAUGUUAGCGGCGGACGGGUGAGUAACACGUGGAUAACCUACCUAUAAGACUGGGAUAACUUCGGGAAACCGGAGCUAAUACCAGAUAAUAUUUUGAACCGCAUGGUUCAAAAGUGAAAGACGGUCUUGCUGUCACUUAUAGAUGGAUCCGCGCUGCAUUAGCUAGUUGGUAAGGUAACGGCUUACCAAGGCAACGAUGCAUAGCCGACCGGAGAGGGUGAUCGGCCACACUGGAACUGAGACACGGUCCAGACUCCUGCGGGAGGCAGCAGUAGGGAAUCUUCCGCAAUGGGCGAAAGCCUGACGGAGCAACGCCGCGUGAGUGAUGAAGGUCUUCGGAUCGUAAAACUCUGUUAUUAGGGAAGAACAUAUGUGUAAGUAACUGUGCACAUCUUGACGGUACCUAAUCAGAAGGCCACGGCUAACUACGUG